AACUGCUGAGGAGGGGGAUAACUACUGGAAACGGUAGCUAAUACCGCAUAACGUCGCAAGACCAAAGAGGGGGACCUUCGGGCCUCUCGCCAUCAGAUGUGCCCAGAUGGGAUUAGCUAGUAGGUGGGGUAACGGCUCACCUAGGCGACGAUCCCUAGCUGGUCUGAGAGGAUGACCAGCCACACUGGAACUGAGACACGGUCCAGACUCCUACGGGAGGCAGCAGUGGGGAAUAUUGCACAAUGGGCGCAAGCCUGAUGCAGCCAUGCCGCGUGUAUGAAGAAGGCCUUCGGGUUGUAAAGUACUUUCAGCGGGGAGGAAGGCGUUGAGGUUAAUAACCUCAGCGAUUGACGUUACCCGCAGAAGAAGCACCGGCUAACUCCGUGCCAGCAGCCGCGGUAAUACGGAGGGUGCAAGCGUUAAUCGGAAUUACUGGGCGUAAAGCGCACGCAGGCGGUCUGUCAAGUCGGAUGUGAAAUCCCCGGGCUCAACCUGGGAACUGCAUUCGAAACUGGCAGGCUAGAGUCUUGUAGAGGGGGGUAGAAUUCCAGGUGUAGCGGUGAAAUGCGUAGAGAUCUGGAGGAAUACCGGUGGCGAAGGCGGCCCCCUGGACAAAGACUGACGCUCAGGUGCGAAAGCGUGGGGAGCAAACAGGAUUAGAUACCCUGGUAGUCCACGCCGUAAACGAUGUCGACUUGGAGGUUGUGCCCUUGAGGCGUGGCUUCCGGAGCUAACGCGUUAAGUCGACCGCCUGGGGAGUACGGCCGCAAGGUUAAAACUCAAUGAAUUGACGGGGGCCCGCACAAGCGGUGGAGCAUGUGGUUUAAUUCGAUGCAACGCGAAGAACCUUACCUACUCUUGACAUCCAGAGAACUUUCCAGAGAUGGAUUGGUGCCUUCGGGAACUCUGAGACAGGUGCUGCAUGGCUGUCGUCAGCUCGUGUUGUGAAAUGUUGGGUUAAGUCCCGCAACGAGCGCAACCCUUAUCCUUUGUUGCCAGCGGUUCGGCCGGGGAACUCAAGGAGACUGCCAGUGAUAAACUGGGAGGAGGGUGGGGAUGACGUCAGUCAUCAUGGCCCUUACGAGUAGGGCUACACACGUGCUACAAU
Molecule: ribosomal RNA, 1108 nt
Filed under: Enterobacter mori
Lineage: Bacteria; Pseudomonadati; Pseudomonadota; Gammaproteobacteria; Enterobacterales; Enterobacteriaceae
Description: bacterial SSU rRNA
Rfam family: Bacterial small subunit ribosomal RNA
Source: RNAcentral